Molecule: ribosomal RNA, 472 nt
Filed under: uncultured bacterium
Lineage: Bacteria
Description: bacterial SSU rRNA
Rfam family: Bacterial small subunit ribosomal RNA
Source: RNAcentral
AGAGUUUGAUCAUGGCUCAGAACGAACGCUGGCGGCAGGCCUAACACAUGCAAGUCGAGCGCCUCAGCAAUGGGGAGCGGCAGACGGGUGAGUAACACGUGGGAACGUGCCCCAAGGUACGGAACAACUCCGGGAAACUGGAGCUAAUACCGUAUGUGACCGACAGGUGAAAGAUUUAUCGCCUUGGGAUCGGCCCGCGUCUGAUUAGCUAGUUGGUGGGGUAAUGGCCUACCAAGGCGACGAUCAGUAGCUGGUCUGAGAGGAUGAUCAGCCACAUUGGGACUGAGACACGGCCCAAACUCCUACGGGAGGCAGCAGUGGGGAAUCUUGGACAAUGGGCGCAAGCCUGAUCCAGCCAUGCCGCGUGGAUGAUGAAGGCCUUCGGGUUGUAAAAUCCUUUCGGCGGGGACGAUAAUGACGGUACCCGCAGAAGAAGCCCCGGCUAACUUCGUGCCAGCCGCCGCGGUAAUAC